CCUACGGGAGGCAGCAGUGAGGAAUAUUGGUCAAUGGACGAGAGUCUGAACCAGCCAAGUAGCGUGAAGGAUGACUGCCCUAUGGGUUGUAAACUUCUUUUAUAUGGGAAUAAAAUGUUCCACGUGUGGGAUUUUGUAUGUACCAUAUGAAUAAGGAUCGGCUAACUCCGUGCCAGCAGCCGCGGUAAUACGGAGGAUCCGAGCGUUAUCCGGCUUUAUUGGGUUUAAAGGGAGCGUAGGUGGAUUGUUAAGUCAGUUGUGAAAGGUUGCGGCUCAACCGGAAAAUUGGAGUUGAAACUGGCAGUCUUGAGUACAGUAGAGGUGGGCGGAAUUCGUGGUGUAGCGGUGAAAUGCUUAGAUAUCACGAAGAACUCCGAUUGCGAAGGCAGCUCACUGGACUGCAACUGACACUGAGGCUCGAAAGUGUGGGUAUCAAACAGGAUUAGAUACCCCUGUAGUC
Molecule: ribosomal RNA, 460 nt
Filed under: uncultured bacterium
Lineage: Bacteria
Description: partial 16S ribosomal RNA
Rfam family: Bacterial small subunit ribosomal RNA
Source: RNAcentral